RNAcentral lists this ribosomal RNA (77 nucleotides) under Streptomyces sp. SID7909. Its description in RNAcentral is "partial 16S ribosomal RNA". It matches the Rfam family "Bacterial small subunit ribosomal RNA", at positions 1 to 75 of the family's 1533-position model. Lineage: Bacteria; Bacillati; Actinomycetota; Actinomycetes; Kitasatosporales; Streptomycetaceae. The record is from RNAcentral.
CAUUCACGGAGAGUUUGAUCCUGGCUCAGGACGAACGCUGGCGGCGUGCUUAACACAUGCAAGUCGAACGAUGAAGC